Molecule: ribosomal RNA, 2902 nt
Filed under: Escherichia coli
Lineage: Bacteria; Pseudomonadati; Pseudomonadota; Gammaproteobacteria; Enterobacterales; Enterobacteriaceae
Description: bacterial LSU rRNA
Rfam family: Bacterial large subunit ribosomal RNA
Source: RNAcentral
UUAAGCGACUAAGCGUACACGGUGGAUGCCCUGGCAGUCAGAGGCGAUGAAGGACGUGCUAAUCUGCGAUAAGCGUCGGUAAGGUGAUAUGAACCGUUAUAACCGGCGAUUUCCGAAUGGGGAAACCCAGUGUGUUUCGACACACUAUCAUUAACUGAAUCCAUAGGUUAAUGAGGCGAACCGGGGGAACUGAAACAUCUAAGUACCCCGAGGAAAAGAAAUCAACCGAGAUUCCCCCAGUAGCGGCGAGCGAACGGGGAGCAGCCCAGAGCCUGAAUCAGUAUGUGUGUUAGUGGAAGCGUCUGGAAAGGCGCGCGAUACAGGGUGACAGCCCCGUACACAAAAAUGCACAUGCUGUGAGCUCGAUGAGUAGGGCGGGACACGUGGUAUCCUGUCUGAAUAUGGGGGGACCAUCCUCCAAGGCUAAAUACUCCUGACUGACCGAUAGUGAACCAGUACCGUGAGGGAAAGGCGAAAAGAACCCCGGCGAGGGGAGUGAAAAAGAACCUGAAACCGUGUACGUACAAGCAGUGGGAGCACGCUUAGGCGUGUGACUGCGUACCUUUUGUAUAAUGGGUCAGCGACUUAUAUUCUGUAGCAAGGUUAACCGAAUAGGGGAGCCGAAGGGAAACCGAGUCUUAACUGGGCGUUAAGUUGCAGGGUAUAGACCCGAAACCCGGUGAUCUAGCCAUGGGCAGGUUGAAGGUUGGGUAACACUAACUGGAGGACCGAACCGACUAAUGUUGAAAAAUUAGCGGAUGACUUGUGGCUGGGGGUGAAAGGCCAAUCAAACCGGGAGAUAGCUGGUUCUCCCCGAAAGCUAUUUAGGUAGCGCCUCGUGAAUUCAUCUCCGGGGGUAGAGCACUGUUUCGGCAAGGGGGUCAUCCCGACUUACCAACCCGAUGCAAACUGCGAAUACCGGAGAAUGUUAUCACGGGAGACACACGGCGGGUGCUAACGUCCGUCGUGAAGAGGGAAACAACCCAGACCGCCAGCUAAGGUCCCAAAGUCAUGGUUAAGUGGGAAACGAUGUGGGAAGGCCCAGACAGCCAGGAUGUUGGCUUAGAAGCAGCCAUCAUUUAAAGAAAGCGUAAUAGCUCACUGGUCGAGUCGGCCUGCGCGGAAGAUGUAACGGGGCUAAACCAUGCACCGAAGCUGCGGCAGCGACGCUGAUGCGUUGUUGGGUAGGGGAGCGUUCUGUAAGCCUGCGAAGGUGUGCUGUGAGGCAUGCUGGAGGUAUCAGAAGUGCGAAUGCUGACAUAAGUAACGAUAAAGCGGGUGAAAAGCCCGCUCGCCGGAAGACCAAGGGUUCCUGUCCAACGUUAAUCGGGGCAGGGUGAGUCGACCCCUAAGGCGAGGCCGAAAGGCGUAGUCGAUGGGAAACAGGUUAAUAUUCCUGUACUUGGUGUUACUGCGAAGGGGGGACGGAGAAGGCUAUGUUGGCCGGGCGACGGUUGUCCCGGUUUAAGCGUGUAGGCUGGUUUUCCAGGCAAAUCCGGAAAAUCAAGGCUGAGGCGUGAUGACGAGGCACUACGGUGCUGAAGCAACAAAUGCCCUGCUUCCAGGAAAAGCCUCUAAGCAUCAGGUAACAUCAAAUCGUACCCCAAACCGACACAGGUGGUCAGGUAGAGAAUACCAAGGCGCUUGAGAGAACUCGGGUGAAGGAACUAGGCAAAAUGGUGCCGUAACUUCGGGAGAAGGCACGCUGAUAUGUAGGUGAAGUCCCUCGCGGAUGGAGCUGAAAUCAGUCGAAGAUACCAGCUGGCUGCAACUGUUUAUUAAAAACACAGCACUGUGCAAACACGAAAGUGGACGUAUACGGUGUGACGCCUGCCCGGUGCCGGAAGGUUAAUUGAUGGGGUCAGCGCAAGCGAAGCUCUUGAUCGAAGCCCCGGUAAACGGCGGCCGUAACUAUAACGGUCCUAAGGUAGCGAAAUUCCUUGUCGGGUAAGUUCCGACCUGCACGAAUGGCGUAAUGAUGGCCAGGCUGUCUCCACCCGAGACUCAGUGAAAUUGAACUCGCUGUGAAGAUGCAGUGUACCCGCGGCAAGACGGAAAGACCCCGUGAACCUUUACUAUAGCUUGACACUGAACAUUGAGCCUUGAUGUGUAGGAUAGGUGGGAGGCUUUGAAGUGUGGACGCCAGUCUGCAUGGAGCCGACCUUGAAAUACCACCCUUUAAUGUUUGAUGUUCUAACGUUGACCCGUAAUCCGGGUUGCGGACAGUGUCUGGUGGGUAGUUUGACUGGGGCGGUCUCCUCCUAAAGAGUAACGGAGGAGCACGAAGGUUGGCUAAUCCUGGUCGGACAUCAGGAGGUUAGUGCAAUGGCAUAAGCCAGCUUGACUGCGAGCGUGACGGCGCGAGCAGGUGCGAAAGCAGGUCAUAGUGAUCCGGUGGUUCUGAAUGGAAGGGCCAUCGCUCAACGGAUAAAAGGUACUCCGGGGAUAACAGGCUGAUACCGCCCAAGAGUUCAUAUCGACGGCGGUGUUUGGCACCUCGAUGUCGGCUCAUCACAUCCUGGGGCUGAAGUAGGUCCCAAGGGUAUGGCUGUUCGCCAUUUAAAGUGGUACGCGAGCUGGGUUUAGAACGUCGUGAGACAGUUCGGUCCCUAUCUGCCGUGGGCGCUGGAGAACUGAGGGGGGCUGCUCCUAGUACGAGAGGACCGGAGUGGACGCAUCACUGGUGUUCGGGUUGUCAUGCCAAUGGCACUGCCCGGUAGCUAAAUGCGGAAGAGAUAAGUGCUGAAAGCAUCUAAGCACGAAACUUGCCCCGAGAUGAGUUCUCCCUGACUCCUUGAGAGUCCUGAAGGAACGUUGAAGACGACGACGUUGAUAGGCCGGGUGUGUAAGCGCAGCGAUGCGUUGAGCUAACCGGUACUAAUGAACCGUGAGGCUUAACCUU